Molecule: ribosomal RNA, 373 nt
Filed under: uncultured organism
Description: partial 16S ribosomal RNA
Rfam family: Bacterial small subunit ribosomal RNA
Source: RNAcentral
GUAGGUGGCAAGUGUUGUCCGGAAUUAUUGGGCGUAAAGCGCGCGCAGGUGGUUCUUUAAGUCUGAUGUGAAAGCCCCCGGGCUCAACCGGGGAGGGUCAUUGGAAACUGGGGAACUUGAGUGCAGGAGAGGAAAGUGGAAUUCCACGUGUAGCGGUGAAAUGCGUAGAUAUGUGGAGGAACACCAGUGGCGAAGGCGACUUUCUGGCCUGUAACUGACACUGAGGCGCGAAAGCGUGGGGAGCAAACAGGAUUAGAUACCCUGGUAGUCCACGCCGUAAACGAUGAGUGCUAAGUGUUGGGGGGUUUCCGCCCCUCAGUGCUGCAGCUAACGCAUUAAGCACUCCGCCUGGGGAGUACGGUCGCAAAGACUG